Austrofundulus limnaeus is the source of this 1312-nucleotide long non-coding RNA. RefSeq lists it as uncharacterized. Lineage: Eukaryota; Metazoa; Chordata; Actinopteri; Cyprinodontiformes; Rivulidae. The record is from RefSeq and is a predicted model, not a curated record. The transcript is spliced from 3 exons.
UGUUGGUUCUGAUGUAUGUUCAGGUACUGUUUGUUGGUUCUGAUGUAUGUUCAGGUACUGUUUGUUGGUUCUGAUGUAUGUUCAGGUACUGUUUGUUGGGUUAGAAUGGGGAAACUGCCUGAGUCAGAAAUAUUUGACUGAUUUAAAGACACAAUAACUGAACAUUUCUUUUUCUGUGACUUUGUGUUUAAAAUGAAAGCUUUGUGCAUUUCUUCCAUCGUUGCUUCACACUGUGAAACACAGAGCUGCUGCUUAUUCCUUCCAGCCACACAGAUUACAUAAUCCAGCACCCCUCUGACCUCCCACCACCUCUUCUCGCUUUCCUCCCUCCACCUCUGCGCUCUCCURUCAUUUCUGCUCACAUGGUUUCAGUUUUAGCAGCGAGGCUCACUUUGUGCCGCUGCAGGUCUGGGGAGACGUCKGUGCUGGUUCUGUUCAGUGAAAUGUGUUUGUAGGGACAUGCUGCCUCUUGUCUGGAGAUCUGCGUGCAGCUCGGAGGCAGAAACRUUUUGUCGUCGGUCUGAGACAGGAGGAAAAGGAGAUGUUGUCACGUCACUGUGAAGCUUGUUUGUUUCCCUCACUGUUGAAGGUUUUCAUUUGAUUCUAAUCUGAGAGAAACUUCAAACACGUCAACUGAUGAGUUAAUGCCUCAGAAGUGCGUUAAUAAUCUGUAAGUAAGAGUUAGCUCUCACCUGUUUCCAAAUGAAAACAUUAAAGUCAUAAUUUGAAUAUUUUAAAGUAACUUCUGUUAGAAGGAUAUGAACAGGGGUAAUCACCUUUCAGCCUCAGGUGGGAAUCAUUCCUCUGAGUCUGCAUUUUCUGGUUGGUUCAGAGGUGCAUUCAGGUACAGUUUGAUGGUUCUGAGGUGCAUUCAGGUACAGUUUGAUGGUUCUGAGGUGCAUUCAGGUACAGUUUGAUGGUUCAGAGGUGCAUUCAGGUACAGUUUGAUGGUUCAGAGGUGCAUUCAGGUACAGUUUGAUGGUUCUGAGGUGCAUUCAGGUACAGUUUGUUGGUUCCAAGAGAAAUAAUAGUUUUUUAAUAAGAGCUAGCCUUCAUCUAUCACCAAAUGAAAACAUUAGGUAUAGUUUAAAUUAAAGUUUAAAGUAACUUAUGUUAGAAGGUUAUGAACAGUCAACAUCUUACCUGUUGCAGGUAGAGCUCUGAAAGACCUCUGUUUGGAUAAAGUGUGUUUAAUUCUGAAUGAAUUUAUGAGGUAAUGAGUAGUCCAAGCAAAUUUAUACUAGAGCUGAGUGGUAUGACCCAAAUUUAUAUCACGGUAUUUUCAACAUUUACACCGGUUUGACGGUAUUUU